This 1405-nucleotide ribosomal RNA is filed under the name Microbacterium sp. NCCP-284. RNAcentral's name for it is "bacterial SSU rRNA". It matches the Rfam family "Bacterial small subunit ribosomal RNA". The record is from RNAcentral. Lineage: Bacteria; Bacillati; Actinomycetota; Actinomycetes; Micrococcales; Microbacteriaceae.
GCUUACCAUGCAGUCGAACGGUGAAGCAGAGCUUGCUCUGUGGAUCAGUGGCGAACGGGUGAGUAACACGUGAGCAAUCUGCCCCUGACUCUGGGAUAAGCGCUGGAAACGGCGUCUAAUACCGGAUACGAGCUGCGACCGCAUGGUCAGUAGCUGGAAAGAAUUUCGGUCAGGGAUGAGCUCGCGGCCUAUCAGCUUGUUGGUGAGGUAAUGGCUCACCAAGGCGUCGACGGGUAGCCGGCCUGAGAGGGUGACCGGCCACACUGGGACUGAGACACGGCCCAGACUCCUACGGGAGGCAGCAGUGGGGAAUAUUGCACAAUGGGCGAAAGCCUGAUGCAGCAACGCCGCGUGAGGGAUGACGGCCUUCGGGUUGUAAACCUCUUUUAGCAGGGAAGAAGCGAAAGUGACGGUACCUGCAGAAAAAGCGCCGGCUAACUACGUGCCAGCAGCCGCGGUAAUACGUAGGGCGCAAGCGUUAUCCGGAAUUAUUGGGCGUAAAGAGCUCGUAGGCGGUCUGUCGCGUCUGCUGUGAAAACCCGAGGCUCAACCUCGGGCCUGCAGUGGGUACGGGCAGACUAGAGUGCGGUAGGGGAGAUUGGAAUUCCUGGUGUAGCGGUGGAAUGCGCAGAUAUCAGGAGGAACACCGAUGGCGAAGGCAGAUCUCUGGGCCGUAACUGACGCUGAGGAGCGAAAGGGUGGGGAGCAAACAGGCUUAGAUACCCUGGUAGUCCACCCCGUAAACGUUGGGAACUAGUUGUGGGGUCCAUUCCACGGAUUCCGUGACGCAGCUAACGCAUUAAGUUCCCCGCCUGGGGAGUACGGCCGCAAGGCUAAAACUCAAAGGAAUUGACGGGGACCCGCACAAGCGGCGGAGCAUGCGGAUUAAUUCGAUGCAACGCGAAGAACCUUACCAAGGCUUGACAUAUAGAGGAAACGUCUGGAAACAGUCGCCCCGCAAGGUCUCUAUACAGGUGGUGCAUGGUUGUCGUCAGCUCGUGUCGUGAGAUGUUGGGUUAAGUCCCGCAACGAGCGCAACCCUCGUUCUAUGUUGCCAGCACGUAAUGGUGGGAACUCAUGGGAUACUGCCGGGGUCAACUCGGAGGAAGGUGGGGAUGACGUCAAAUCAUCAUGCCCCUUAUGUCUUGGGCUUCACGCAUGCUACAAUGGCCGGUACAAAGGGCUGCAAUACCGUGAGGUGGAGCGAAUCCCAAAAAGCCGGUCCCAGUUCGGAUUGAGGUCUGCAACUCGACCUCAUGAAGUCGGAGUCGCUAGUAAUCGCAGAUCAGCAACGCUGCGGUGAAUACGUUCCCGGGUCUUGUACACACCGCCCGUCAAGUCAUGAAAGUCGGUAACACCUGAAGCCGGUGGCCCAACCCUUGUGGAGGAGCCGUCGAAGGUGGAU